This 440-nucleotide ribosomal RNA is filed under the name uncultured Massilia sp. RNAcentral describes it as "bacterial SSU rRNA". It matches the Rfam family "Bacterial small subunit ribosomal RNA", at positions 358 to 790 of the family's 1533-position model. The record is from RNAcentral. Lineage: Bacteria; Pseudomonadati; Pseudomonadota; Betaproteobacteria; Burkholderiales; Oxalobacteraceae.
GGAAUUUUGGACAAUGGGCGCAAGCCUGAUCCAGCAAUGCCGCGUGAGUGAAGAAGGCCUUCGGGUUGUAAAGCUCUUUUGUCAGGGAAGAAACGGGAGUGGCUAAUAUCCAAUCCUAAUGACGGUACCUGAAGAAUAAGCACCGGCUAACUACGUGCCAGCAGCCGCGGUAAUACGUAGGGUGCAAGCGUUAAUCGGAAUUACUGGGCGUAAAGCGUGCGCAGGCGGUUUUGUAAGUCUGACGUGAAAUCCCCGGGCUCAACCUGGGAAUUGCGUUGGAGACUGCAAGGCUAGAAUCUGGCAGAGGGGGGUAGAAUUCCACGUGUAGCAGUGAAAUGCGUAGAGAUGUGGAGGAACACCGAUGGCGAAGGCAGCCCCCUGGGUCAAGAUUGACGCUCAUGCACGAAAGCGUGGGGAGCAAACAGGAUUAGAUACCCUGG